RNAcentral lists this ribosomal RNA (235 nucleotides) under uncultured bacterium. RNAcentral describes it as "partial 16S ribosomal RNA". It matches the Rfam family "Bacterial small subunit ribosomal RNA", at positions 118 to 348 of the family's 1533-position model. The record is from RNAcentral.
UGAGGAACAUGACCUUCGGCGGGGGAGUAGCCGGCCCAACGGCCGGGUAAUACCGCGUACGACCACAUGGGGACAUCCCUGAGUGGUGAAAGCAGCAAUGCGCCGAUGGAGUGCCUCGCGGCCUAUCAGCUAGUUGGUGAGGUAACGGCUCACCAAGGCGACGACGGGUAGCUGGUCUGAGAGGAUGGCCAGCCACAUUGGGACUGAGACACGGCCCCAGACCUCUACGGGGAGG